AUGGGAGUUUCUGAAAAAUUUAGGAAAAGUAUGGAGCAUUUAGCGUCCAGUUAUGCGACUGAGCAAGACGCCGACCUUAAAUUUACCAGCACAAUUAGCUCCGAAGGUGAUUUGGCGGCAAAAGCCUCAAAACUUUCAAAAUCUAAAAAGAAGCGUCCAAGUCAAGUUGAGCUUUCCGAAAAAACUCAGAAUUCUCAAGAGUGCUCAAUCCUUAGCAGUAGUCACACACAAGCCACGGUUUCAAAAUCAAACGACAGUAACGAACGAGUCUCCAAGUCUAAGUCAUCCAGAAGUCCUAGUAUUAGACGGAAAAAAGUCAGCAGUGAAAAUUUGAUCAGUAUUGAUGUGCUGGAAAAAGAUAAAACACUUUCUGAGGUACAUGAUGUUGACUUCGAUCAGCAAAAAAUCACUGCUUCCGAGAGAACCUCGGAAAGUUCAGGACUUCGUAGGAAAAGCUCGGGCCAGUUAGAGAUUCCGGAAAUUUUUCGAGGCUCAAGUGACAGAAUUAACUUGCUAGAUAAAGAUAAAGUGCGUUCCGAGAAACACCUUGUCGACUUUGAGUCGAAAGAAAUAGCUGUUUCCAGAAGAACUUCUGAAGAGUCGGAACAUCGUAGGAAAAGCUCGGGUCAAUUAGAAAUUCCGGAAAUAUUUCGAAAUUCCAACGAAAAAUUAAAUUUAUCGAGUACUUUAGAUGAAGUAAAAUCAGGUGAUAGCUCCAAUGGAAAUGUUAAACAGCCCAGCAAAAUUUCAAUCCCUGAAGUAUUUCAAGAUAGCUGCAUUAAAUCAGGCGCCAAGGAAAAUUUGACAUCCAAACCCAUCAGAGAUGUCCGUUGCGAAAACGACUUGAAAUCAAUUGAGGGAUCCAAGAAGACUCCCUCUACACAAUGUUAUAGCACAGAAACGUUAAAUACUUCACUCGAAAACGCUCCUUCCACUGCGUCCAAAAUUAAUGUAGCACCCUCUCAAAAGACUUUACCAUUGAAAUCAAUUCUCAAAAAAACUGAGUUCAAAAGCGCAGAAAAAAAAGUAAGCACCCCAGAUGCGAUUACGAUUUCUGAGUUUGUAGAGAAAAGUGGCGAGGAUUCCGGUGUCAUCGUAGAGUCAAUGGGUGACGCGUUCUUGAGUUUCAAUGACCAUGCCGAAAAAAUUGAGACUUGUGCCUCAAAUAGUCUAAAUAUUGAUCAGAAAAUCAUCGGUGAUCGUUCCUCAUCACAUGCUUACAGAUCGGAGUCGAUUGCCCUAUCAAAACAGAUACACAUUCCAUAG
Molecule: long non-coding RNA, 1266 nt
Filed under: Bemisia tabaci
Lineage: Eukaryota; Metazoa; Arthropoda; Insecta; Hemiptera; Aleyrodidae
Description: lncRNA ENSSSA1NGG000260
Source: RNAcentral